UACGAAGGGUGCAAACGUUGCUCGGAAUCACUGGGCGUAAAGCGCACGCAGGCGGAUUGAUAAGUCAGGGGUGAAAUCCCGGGGCUCAACCUCGGAAUUGCCUUUGAUACUGUCUGUCUUGAGUCCGGGAGAGGUGAGUGGAAUUCCUAGUGUAGAGGUGAAAUUCGUAGAUAUUAGGAAGAACACCAGUGGCGAAGGCGGCUCACUGGCCCGGUACUGACGCUCAUGUGCGAAAGCGUGGGGAGCAAACAGG
RNAcentral lists this ribosomal RNA (253 nucleotides) under uncultured bacterium. RNAcentral's name for it is "partial 16S ribosomal RNA". It matches the Rfam family "Bacterial small subunit ribosomal RNA", at positions 524 to 776 of the family's 1533-position model. The record is from RNAcentral.